UACGGGGGGAGCAAGCGUUGUUCGGAUUUACUGGGCGUAAAGGGCGCGUAGGCGGCCACCGCAAGUCGACUGUGAAAUCUCCGGGCUUAACCCGGAAAGGUCAGCCGAUACUGCGGGGCUAGAGUGCAGAAGGGGCAACUGGAAUUCUCGGUGUAGCGGUGAAAUGCGUAGAUAUCGAGAGGAACACCUGCGGCGAAGGCGGGUUGCUGGGCUGACACUGACGCUGAUGCGCGAAAGCGUGGGGAGCAAACAGG
Molecule: ribosomal RNA, 254 nt
Filed under: uncultured bacterium
Lineage: Bacteria
Description: partial 16S ribosomal RNA
Rfam family: Bacterial small subunit ribosomal RNA
Source: RNAcentral